This 368-nucleotide ribosomal RNA is filed under the name uncultured bacterium. Its description in RNAcentral is "bacterial SSU rRNA". It matches the Rfam family "Bacterial small subunit ribosomal RNA", at positions 29 to 409 of the family's 1533-position model. The record is from RNAcentral.
AAUCAACGCUGGCGGCGCGCUUAACACAUGCAAGUCGAACGAGAAAGGGGAGCAAUCCCUGAGUACAGUGGCGUACGGGUGAGUAACACGUGGAUGAUCUAUCUCUUAGUGGGGAAUAACCCUGGGAAACCGGGAAUAAUACCGCAUAAGCUCGAGAGAGGAAAGCAGCAAUGCGCUGAGAGAGGAGUCCGCGGCCGAUUAGCUAGUUGGCAGGGUAAAAGCCUACCAAGGCAGAGAUCGGUAGCCGGCCUGAGAGGGCACACGGCCACACUGGCACUGAAACACGGGCCAGACUCCUACGGGAGGCAGCAGGUGGGGAAUCUUGCACAAGUGGGGCAACCCUGAUGCAGCGACGCCGCGUGAGCGAU